UAAGGAAUAUUGGACAAUGGAGGCAACUCUGAUCCAGCCAUGCCGCGUGAAGGAUGAAGGUGCUAUGCAUUGUAAACUUCUUUUGAACGGGAGAAAACCUUUGGUCGUGUACCGAAGCUGAUAGUACCGUUAGAAUAAGGGUCGGCUAACUUCGUGCCAGCAGCCGCGGUAAUACGAAGGACCCGAGCGUUAUCCGGAUUUAUUGGGUUUAAAGGGUGCGUAGGCGGAACAGUAAGUCAGUGGUGAAAGC
This 250-nucleotide ribosomal RNA is filed under the name uncultured bacterium. Its description in RNAcentral is "partial 16S ribosomal RNA". It matches the Rfam family "Bacterial small subunit ribosomal RNA", at positions 355 to 601 of the family's 1533-position model. The record is from RNAcentral.